This 253-nucleotide ribosomal RNA is filed under the name uncultured bacterium. RNAcentral's name for it is "partial 16S ribosomal RNA". It matches the Rfam family "Bacterial small subunit ribosomal RNA", at positions 524 to 776 of the family's 1533-position model. The record is from RNAcentral.
UACGGAGGGUGCAAGCGUUAUCCGGAUUCACUGGGUUUAAAGGGUGCGUAGGCGGGUUGGUAAGUCCGUGGUGAAAUCCCCAAGCUUAACUUGGGAACUGCCGUGGAUACUCUCAAUCUUGAAUAUCGUGGAGGUAAGCGGAAUAUGUCAUGUAGCGGUGAAAUGCUUAGAUAUGACAUAGAACACCAAUUGCGUAGGCAGCUUACUACACGAUCACUGACGCUGAGGCACGAAAGCGUGGGGAGCAAACAGG